UACGUAGGGGGCAAGCGUUGUCCGGAAUUAUUGGGCGUAAAGCGCGCGCAGGCGGUCCUUUAAGUCUUGUGUUUAAUCCCAAAGCUCAACUUUGGUACGCAUGGGAAACUGGGGGACUGGAGUGCAGGAGAGGAAAGUGGAAUUCCACGUGUAGCGGUGAAAUGCGUAGAGAUGUGGAGGAACACCAGUGGCGAAGGCGACUUUCUGGCCUGUAACUGACGCUGAGGCGCGAAAGCGUGGGGAGCAAACAGG
Molecule: ribosomal RNA, 252 nt
Filed under: uncultured bacterium
Lineage: Bacteria
Description: partial 16S ribosomal RNA
Rfam family: Bacterial small subunit ribosomal RNA
Source: RNAcentral